Molecule: long non-coding RNA, 1499 nt
Filed under: Musa acuminata (dwarf banana)
Lineage: Eukaryota; Viridiplantae; Streptophyta; Magnoliopsida; Zingiberales; Musaceae
Description: long non-coding RNA (MACU_LNC004123)
Source: RNAcentral
CUUACUUGUCAGCUGCAUCCAUGUGCAAGUAGAUCUACUGAACUCUAGGAAGAACUGAUGUCCUAGUCUCAUGUUACUGAUAUGCCCCAUAAAAGAAAUAGCUUCUCCAGAGGUUUCUUUGGACUUUCACCAAGAAAAAAAUGACAAGGUUAGGCACUACUUUGUUGUGUUUAUGCUGGUGUUCUUUAGUUUCCAGAGCAAGGUAAGUGGCACACUACCUUUCCAUCAUUCACUGGCAAUGUUGAUUAGGGUCCACUUCAAAUCCACAGAAGUCAUCAAAAGGCUCCUUUUGGUUGACACUAAGAAAAGCUUCUGUACUUUAUAGAUGUGUUUCAUGAUUAGGAUCAUCUUAAUACUACCAACAUGUUUAUUUUCAGGAGUAAUAUUCGUCACAGCUUCACUGGUUCUCCUCCAACUUUACUAUAAGGUAUUUUGAUUAUUUUGUACUGAAGGGAUAUUUGUAUGAUCUUAUUGAUCUGCAUGAACCAUGUGGUGGUGGUAUAUGCAACUGGGAAAGUAUAUGAGAAAGUGUUGGUAUCCCAGAAAUAUGAAAUAUAGGCAUCUCUAUUCCCUAAAGAAGAUUCAAGUGUUUUUUCUUACUCUAGGCACGCAAAGCUUAGUCAGCUAUUCUGAAAUUUACAUUCGAUAUAGAUUCUAUUGUGCAGGCAAAUUCAGAGGUUGGAUCCUCUCUUGUACAACAUCUAUGCAAGAUACUAAUGGGAAUGUGUGCAACACCUGAUCAGGAAUGAACUGUAUCAAAUCCAACUCUAUAUAUUGAUUGGAUCUGUGCUCUUUGAUGAAAACUACUUAUGUGACUGUAAGCUGCAAUAUAUUUACAAUAGCUCAUCUACAGCAGGAAGGACCUAAUGGUGAGAACUGUGAGAAUUUUACUACUGUAUAAACCAAUUUAUCUCCAGAUAAAUUACUGUGCUAUGUUUUCUGCAUUUGCUUAUCAGUCUUUUGAAGUCCUUUGGGCAUCACAUUUCCUGUCACAGCAUAUGGUACAACCAAUCAUAUCUUGGAAACCAUGUUGUCUUCAUCAUUAUGUUUCUAAAGCUGACCUUCUACCCUGCUGUGAGUUUGCAUUCUCUCUGUAUUUAAGCUUCCAGCAAAAUUGGCAAUAGGAUUGUGAUUUCCUAUAUAGGACUCAUUAAUGUUUGUCUUCUGAGCAGUGAGAAACUCCACAGAAAUGGCAAGUAAUGGGACAAAACUGGCUGCCAUUACAGUUAGGCCUUUUGAUUUCGGUCGGUGGUGUGUCAGAUGUGCAGCAGAAACCAAAAGGCCGAGCCCUGCUAGUGUUUGAACAGGUAAUAACAUGUUACAUUUAGAUCAAAAGCAGCAAGGCGUGCUGUGUUCUCUGAUGUGUUCAGAGGUAUACUUAGAAUAAUGCGGAGAGCUCUUGUCGCUGCGCAGCGUGGCUUCAAGCUGGCACGUGAAGGGACUGCAAAGGAUGUGUUCCUUAACCUGAUUGCAGUGAGACAUUUACGUUUACUGUGUGA